AUGCAAGCUUCAUUAAUGUUUUCUAAGCUAAUCUACCAGAAAAAUGAGAGUGAUGAAGUUGGGAGAACAAAAACCACCCCAAAAACCAUGACCCUAACAAAUGAAAUGAAUGGAAAAUAUAUAGAAAAUUAUGUCCCAGACACGUACCGCGCGGAGCUGCCCUUUAUUCAACCUCUCAGCCAGCACCAUGCAAGCAGACUUGCCAAAAAUAUCUUGCGCCGCCCAGCUCUCAAAACCAUCGCCCUAAGACGACCUUUAUUCUUGCCCGACAACCAAAACGCGAGCACAAGUUAG
Molecule: non-coding RNA, 294 nt
Organism: Vicia faba (fava bean)
Lineage: Eukaryota; Viridiplantae; Streptophyta; Magnoliopsida; Fabales; Fabaceae
Source: the annotation of a GenBank genome assembly